GUCUUUAUAGGUGGAUCUUCGGAUAGGGGAGCGAGUAAGAGAGGAGUUUAUACUUUACUUCAUAGUGAAACGCAAUCUUUCUAACUAUGCUACUUGAAUUUCUGAAAGGGUUACUUAUGUAACUAUACUGUUCCAGUGCCGACAUAAUCCAUCUGCCGUCAAAUUUUAUUUGUACGGCAUUCAUUCUAGCAAUGUUUACAGUGCUUAGAACGACUAUAACUUGAGCUUGGGGCAGGGUAGAUAUAGUACUGAAUUUAAGCAUAUUAAUAAGUACUCAAGAAAAUAAAAAUGAGACCCUUAGUACUGGCGAAGGAAACGGGAGAGCGGCUAGCCAAUACCUCUUGGGUGAUUGUGUUAAUGAAAAAUCAAUUGUUUGACCCGGAAUCUGCAUCGGACUGUGCGGUAACUUUGGUGAUAAUCCAUAAAUCGGUGACGACGUUGUUAUUUCACUAAGGAGUAGCGUUACUUCAAAAUGUAGCGUGAAGUAGGAGGUAAGAACCUUCUAACCGUGAUCAAAUCUCUUAUUCCGAUAGAGAAACAGUACCGUGAGGGAAAAGUGAAAAGACGACUAUAAAGUCCGUUAAAAGAAACUAAUCUAUAAAGGUAGAACGUUGCUUGCAUCUAUGUGGUGGAUUGAGAACCCUCCACGAUAGCUAGGCUCAAAAAGUCUAGUGAGAAGAUGUCAGCAACACCCGUCUUGAAACACGGACCAAGGAGUCAUUCUAUACAGUGAACUGCUGCGCAAAGCGUGGAAGUGAACCAAAACUCUAUCGAAUGGACCCGAAAGGUGGUGAACUAUUCCUGAGAGGGUAUAAGCCAGUGGAAACGCUGGUAGAUGACCCGUGUGAUACUGACGUGCAAUUCGUUCAUUUUACUUAGGAAUAGGGGCGAAAGACUAAUCGAACCAUCUAGUAGCUGGUUCCUCUCGAAGUUUCUCCUAGGAUAGCGGACAUGAUAAGUGAUCACAUAAGUUAGAGCAAUGUUUUGAGGAUACGGGGACGAACGUCCUUGGCCUAGUCACAAACUACUAAACUAUGUAAGGGCUAUUUUUAACAACAUAGUUCCCGUUUGACACUCAUGUCUCGUGGACCGUUUUUGGUAAGCAGAUACGGUGCUUUGGAAUGCUCCAAGCAUGAUGGAAAGGGAUAAGACUCUUCGUUUAUUUCUUUAAAAGGUGUUUAUACAUUUAGACAGUCCGAGGAUGGCCAUGGAAGUAGGAAUUCCCUAAGGAGUGUGUAACAACUCACGGACCGAAUGGAUAAGCCCUUAAAAUGGACUGUGUUAAAACGAUGGGCCCGUAUCAUCAUAGCUCGGUGGUUGCCGAGUUUGUAGAGAGGUGUGCCCAUGGAAGUGAGUUGCUGCUUUGAGGCAGUGGUGAUCUGUGGGUAGUGUUGAUCUUGGUAGAAGUAGCAGCAUUGCAGUCUAAACUGUAAGACGGAAGUAGGAAAGGUUUUUGUGGAUACAUUAUAUGGCUGUAAGUGAACCGAUCUUAACGUAUUUAAAAACGGAAAAGGGACCAGGUGUUUAUUCCUGGGUCUGAGGAUAUUAAACAGCGGCGACGCAGUAUAUACUAACUUGUCUUGGGUUUCUCAUCUGAAUGCGUUUUCUACGCUUCCUAACUCCUGGUCUUUUGUUGAGGAGAUUUACUCUAAGAUACAAAAGAAGGGCAGAAAUUAUAUGAUCAUCAUAAGAUUGAGUAACCAUUGCGCUUAUGAAAAGUGUAUAGAUAAUCCUCGGUUCGUACCAAUAACCGCAUCAGGUCUCUAGGGUUCAAAGCCCUUCGUGUGUGGAGUAAAAUAGGCUAGGGAAGUCGGCAAAAUAGAUCUGUAACCUUGGGAAAAGGGUUGGCUCUGCGGGCCACAGAAAAGAUGCAUAUGCAUGUGACUUCUCAGAUUUUAUCUGUGGAUGUCUCGGCUGUGUUGAAUUUCUGGUAAUGCCUAAGUAGAACUGAGACAAUAAGGGGAAUCCGACAGUUUAACUAAAACCAAGCACUCUGUUUGUUUAUACAUAAGUACAGAGUGUGAAUUCUGCCCGGUGCUUUGAAUGUCAAUGUGAGGAGACUCAUUUAAGCGCGGGUUAACGGCAGGCGUAACUAUGACGCUUUCAACGUAGCAAAAUGCCUCGUCAUCUAAUUAGUGACUCGCAUGAACGGAUUAAUGAGAUUCCUAC
This 2169-nucleotide ribosomal RNA is filed under the name Bacteroidota bacterium. RNAcentral describes it as "eukaryotic LSU rRNA". The stretch from base 222 to 2169 matches the Rfam family "Eukaryotic large subunit ribosomal RNA", at positions 1 to 2339 of the family's 3401-position model. The record is from RNAcentral. Lineage: Bacteria; Pseudomonadati; Bacteroidota.